Molecule: ribosomal RNA, 253 nt
Filed under: uncultured bacterium
Lineage: Bacteria
Description: partial 16S ribosomal RNA
Rfam family: Bacterial small subunit ribosomal RNA
Source: RNAcentral
UACGUAGGGGGCAAGCGUUGUCCGGAAUCAUUGGGCGUAAAGAGCGUGUAGGCGGCCAGAAAAGUCCGCUGUGAAAACUCGAGGCUCAACUUCGAGCUGUCGGUGGAAACUUUCUGGCUAGAGUCCGGAAGAGGAGAAUGGAAUUCCUGGUGUAGCGGUGAAAUGCGCAGAUAUCAGGAGGAACACCGGUGGCGAAGGCGGGUCUCUGGGCCGAUACUGACGCUGAGGUGCGAAAGCGUGGGGAGCAAACAGG